CCUACGGGUGGCAGCAGUGGGGAAUAUUGCACAAUGGGGGAAACCCUGAUGCAGCGACGCCGCGUGAGCGAGGAAGUAUUUCGGUAUGUAAAGCUCUAUCAGCAGGGACGAAAAAAGACGGUACCUGACUAAGAAGCCCCGGCUAACUACGUGCAAGCAGCCGCGGUAAUACGUAGGGGGCAAGCGUUAUCCGGAUUUACUGGGUGUAAAGGGAGCGUAGACGGCAAGGCAAGCCAGAAGUGAAAGGGCAGGGUUCAACCCUGUACAUGCUUUUGGAACGGUGGUGCUGGAGUGCAGGAGAGGUAAGUGGAAUUCCUAGUGUAGCGGUGAAAUGCGUAGAUAUUAGGAGGAACACCAGUGGCGAAGGCGGCUUACUGGACUGUAACUGACGUUGAGGCUCGAAAGCGUGGGGAGCAAACAGGAUUAGAUACCCUUGUAGUC
RNAcentral lists this ribosomal RNA (441 nucleotides) under uncultured bacterium. RNAcentral describes it as "partial 16S ribosomal RNA". It matches the Rfam family "Bacterial small subunit ribosomal RNA", at positions 338 to 795 of the family's 1533-position model. The record is from RNAcentral.